RNAcentral lists this long non-coding RNA (1382 nucleotides) under Phasianus colchicus (ring-necked pheasant). Its description in RNAcentral is "lncRNA (ENSPCLG00000009132.1)". The record is from RNAcentral. Lineage: Eukaryota; Metazoa; Chordata; Aves; Galliformes; Phasianidae.
GUUCAGAACAGUCAAGUUAGAAAAAGGACCGGAUACUUAGGAGCUUCUGUUUCACGCUUUAAAGUAUUUUGUGAAUGCAGACCUGAGAAAACAGGAAACUGAGGGGAAGAAGAAGGGUGGAGGUGAGGUUUAAAUGUAUAGGCUCAAGAUGACUAGAUAGUUUCCAGAAAAAUUUGUGCAGAACAUAAUGGAUUUCAAUUACAUAUCCAUAGGGUGGGAUAAGACAAUGAGUACUGAAAGGAGGAUCCAUAACUCUUUUUUUUUUUUUUUUUUUUUUUUUUGCCCUCAGUGUUCCAGUUGUGCAGAUAAACAGUGCCCAGACCCUUCAGUCCUUGAAAGAUUUCUGCCCUGUUCCAUGGCUUUUCUGAAGAGAUUUGAAUGAUACCUGCAGUGCCUAAGCAGAGACUACACUUAUGACUGUGAUACCACUGGCCAAUAUCCAAAUAUGUAGUUUGUGGCACACCAUAUAUUCCUCAACUUCAGGCCCCAACACCCUCUCUGAAUUUUGAAGCAGACAACUUAUUUUCUUAUCCAUGGUACCAUAUGUGUUGAUGAGUGUCUGGUCAUAGCAACAUGGAUGUCUGUAUGAAUGAACUUAUCCAGAUAAAGACACGACACUAAGUAAUUCCAGCCAUCGAAGUACUUAAUUUGGCAGCUAUCUGGAAUGAAAGUAGCUCACAACUUUAAAAUGACUUAACAGACUAGGUGCCUAAAAAUUCUCUUUGUUGCUGCAUCAUUGAGUAAUGGGACAGAGAAAUACAUUGCUGAUAAAAUAUAAAUGACACUCUCCACCUUCAAACUCUGCUGGAAUCUCUCCUGAUUGUCAAAGGGAUGAAUUACCUUGCUUCUCAGCCUUGGUGCAGUGCUGUAUAUGCUGGAUCUGAUCCAAGCUAGAAUGUAUCCUGAAAAUCUCCUCAGAAAAGCCCAUCUAAGUUAUUUCCCUUCUGGAAUAGAGAAAUUCAAAAUGGCUACAUUUUGAAUGGUGGUUUCCAGCACACAGAUGUUGGUAUUCAGCCCAUAACUUUGAGACAAAAUUAAAGUUGCCCUGGAUUUAUUAGAGGUACCAUUUUAUGUAGCAUACUAUGACCUACCUUGUCUUUAUUUCAAAGUAAAGGCUUGCUAACAAUCUAGAGCAUCUCCUGGAAUUCUUUUCAGGAAGAACCAUCAGCAUGUUUCAGUAAACUAUCCCUGCUCUUCUCAAAUUGUUUGAGAUAGAAUCAAAGUAUCAUUUGAGUUGGAAGAGACCUUUAAAGGCCAUUUGGUCCAGCCACCCUGCAAUGAACAGGGUCACCUACAGCUCGAUCAGGUUGCUCAGCGCCCGGUCCUGUCUGACCUUAGAUGCCUCCAGAGAUGGGGAUCUGCCACAUCACUAGGCAACCUGU